This is a long non-coding RNA of Syzygium oleosum, 2626 nucleotides long. RefSeq lists it as uncharacterized. Lineage: Eukaryota; Viridiplantae; Streptophyta; Magnoliopsida; Myrtales; Myrtaceae. The record is from RefSeq and is a predicted model, not a curated record. The transcript has 4 exons.
AUGUAUUCAAAACUGGAAUAGAUUGGCCGAUUCGAUUAUUCGACCAAAUAAUGCAGGUCCAAUCCAGGUAGGACUGUGAAAGCAACCAUGGUCGUAGUUGGGAUGAAACUGGCCUUAACCCUGUUGAUCUGACCAAACCCUGUGUUCAACCGGGUCAAAUAGUUGGGGAGUUUCUCCCCUCAUUCAUCCCCUCUAAAGCAAUCUGGUUGCCUCGUCUACCUUAUAAAAUCUCUUUCUUUUGUUGGAUGGUAGCUUGGAAUAAGAUUCUUACUUUUGAGGAUCUCAGGAUAUGGAAUUUCAUUCUUACGAUUGGUGUUAAAUGUGAGUGGAGGAGAUUUUUUGGGUCCUGUACUUCCUGUUGUUGCUGAGAUAUGUACUGACUUUAAUCCCUCAAUAGACAUGGAGCCAUCUCUUUCAAAGUUAUUUCGAGACUUAUGGUUCUAUAUAGCUCUUGUUGGUCUAAUAUAGGAAGCAUAAGUGCAAUUCCUCUAUAGGUUGUGGGUGGACCAUACAUGUGGAAUGCACAGUGGUCUGCUGCUGUCGAGAAAAUUGCUCAAGGGAAUCCUCACCUUGUGUAAAAGCCACAUAUCUUCUUGCAGUAGCGUUUUUGGAAUAUACGAUUUAGUAGCAAGGUGGCAUUCUCAAUGGAAGUGAAACCUUGACCUCUUCUAGAAGUGCAUUCUGUUGUGUCUUUAAAUACAUAAAAAUGCCAAAUCUUAUGCCCGCUGUCUCCCAGUGUCUCAUAGCAAUUGUCCAUCCGGCAUUUGAAACAGCAGUGUCAUGGCUGGUAUUGGUUUACUUACUUUUUUUUUUGGAAAUGAGACUCCCUUCUAAAUCAUUUACCUAUGCAAUUUCAUUAUAUGAGGAUAUCUUGGUGCUGCUUUUCAAUAGAUUGUUUAAUUUUGUUUAUGCUCUCUUCUUGAGGAAUUAUAAGUAUACUGAUAAAUUUGUUUGUAGUUUUGAUAAAUUCAUUUAUUUUGUAGUUGCAACUUGCUUGUAGGUUCUAGACUUCUAAUUUUCUGCAAGAUUGUCGUCUGGGUGGGGCCUCAGAUUAACUUGGGAAAUAGCAGGUUGGUUAUGCUGAGGAAUUGCAGUGAUGAAGGCGAAUUAGAGAGCACCAUGGUACUAGGUAUAUUAGGAUCAGAGGGAAGUGCCAUGUCUGUUGGGGCUGUGUAGACACAGACUAAAAAUUUUGCAGCCUGCCUUAUUACAUCUUCAGGUCUCUCUUUUCCUGAGGAAGAUUCUCAUGAAGCCUAAUCUAGUUGGAGGGGCUUAUAAGGCUAGCUUAUUACUCUGAGUGAUGAUUUUGCCUUCUUUGGAAGAGCUAAUAAAUUCAGGACCACUAUUCAGCAUUCUUUUGGGAUAUCUUACUAAUUGGAAAAAGGCUGGGUUAUCUGUUUGAAAUUCUGUAAUUAUCACUGUGAUGAAAUUCUUCCACAUUAGUCAAAGUGGUGCUGCCCCUCUCUCUAAACACAUACACACACAUGCAGCUCUAUGCAGAUCCAAUGUACUUUGCCUAUCCAGCCACUUGUUUGUUACCUAUCUAUGUGGAGCUGCCUGUUUAUUUGUUGUUCUUUAGGUGAAAAUUAGUGAUCAUUUACUUUGGGUUCUGGAACAUCGGAUAUCUGACACAGGCCUUGGGGCAGUGACACGAGAUUCAACUCUCUAUGUGCAUGCCUGUUUUCUCAUAAAUAGUAUGUCUGAUGGGAGGAGUGCAUUCGUGCUUAUGAUGUUUACUUGUUAAAAUCAGCUUAGAGACAAGUUUCCGCAGGUAAGCUGGUGCCGUAAAACUUUCUUAAUCUUUUAGUUCUAUUAUGUCUGAUACUCUCUUUGUUCGCACGGAUAGCUUAACAAACAGAUUACAUGCGUGUAGGGUCUGUGGAAUUCAUCUUGUCUAGAUUCCCUGUUGUUUUUGGUCGACGAUGGUUCAUUCUCUGCCCUUGUGAUUGAUCCUGUGUGGAUAGCAGCAGUUCUGUCCUUGUACCAACGAGUUGUUUGGGAGUGGAUCAUUAAAUCUCUUUCGUAUGCUCCAUGUACUACCCAGGGCCUUCUUCAGGUUUUCACCACAGCAAUCUGGAACAGCUCUUGCUCCUUGGUCGACGUUGCAGGGAACUAAAAGCUUCCAUGCUUUUCACAACAUCCUACUGUCACUGGUACUUUCUUCAUUGUCAUGCUUCUUGGGUUCAAGUUCUGCCCUUGCCAGCCUCAUGGUAAUCUAUUUAAGUUUAGAGCAGGACUUCAAUUACGAGAAGACUGGAUUUUCAGGUGAACAAGUUUUCCUCUACCUUGAUAUUUUCUUUAUUAAAUUGAAACAGGAUUUUUAAGCUGCGCUGUAUAAAGUUGGUUAUUCUAGUCUCUACCUCAAAUUACUCUCUGAAGGAGUUCCUUCCAUUCCUAUCUUUAUGUGCAGUUGUGUGACUGCGUUGAUGGAGAGAGGUUCCCUGACAUGCCGUACAGUGAUGUGCGUGCUUGAUGCAUCUGUACUUCUAGUUGAAUGUCUACUUUUGAAGAUGAUGUCUUACAUGAGUUUGACUUAAGGGUUAGUGGAGGUUUUCAUGCAUGUCCUUUGCUUGAGGAUCGUGAUAAAAUGACCUGUGAUUUUCUAUGGUUUCGCACAAAAGUGUAA